This 255-nucleotide ribosomal RNA is filed under the name Triticum aestivum (bread wheat). RNAcentral describes it as "partial small subunit ribosomal RNA". Lineage: Eukaryota; Viridiplantae; Streptophyta; Magnoliopsida; Poales; Poaceae. The record is from RNAcentral.
AUGGAGACACUGGCCUCAGCAAGGAUGACGACGAUGACAUGGAGAACGUGCAACAGGACACCGAUGAUGAUGAGCAUGCUGAAGUUCGCGCAGGUGGUAACAAGGACAAGGAUGCAACAGAUGUCCCCCCACCGGAGAAAGUCAAAGAACAUACGGCUGCAAGAGGCGAGGGGGUGUUGCCAUCAAGGAGGGGGAGGGCUCCAGGAGAUGUUGGGCAGGGUUCUCGUGGCAAGAGGUCUAGGACCGAUCCCGUAG